RNAcentral lists this transfer RNA (64 nucleotides) under Tingis cardui. RNAcentral describes it as "tRNA-Glu". Lineage: Eukaryota; Metazoa; Arthropoda; Insecta; Hemiptera; Tingidae. The record is from RNAcentral.
AUUUAUAUAGUUUAUAUAAAACAUUUCAUUUUCAAUGAAAAAUAAAAGUUAACUUUUAUAAAUU